RNAcentral lists this ribosomal RNA (130 nucleotides) under uncultured bacterium. Its description in RNAcentral is "partial 16S ribosomal RNA". It matches the Rfam family "Bacterial small subunit ribosomal RNA", at positions 385 to 525 of the family's 1533-position model. The record is from RNAcentral.
GCACAGCCGAACCCGCGUGUAAUAGCGAACGCCUUCGGGUAGUAAACCAUCUUUCAGCAGGGACGAAGCGAAAGUGACGGUACCUGCAGAAGAAGGUCCGGCCAACUACGUGCCAGCAGCCGCGGUAAUA